AGAGUUUGAUCCUGGCUCAGGACGAACGCUGGCGGUGUGCUUCACACAUGCAAGUCGAGCGGAUGAAGUAGGUAGCUUGCUACUUAUGGAUUUAGCGGCGGACGGGUGAGUAAUAUAUAGGAAUCUGCCCUAGAGCGGGGAACAACAGACCGAAAGGUUUGCUAAUGCCCCAUAGGUAUGCAGUCUUCGGAUUGUUUAUUAAAGGAGUAAUUCACCCUAGGAUGAGCCUGUAUCCGAUUAGCUUGUUGGCGGGGUAAUGGCCCACCAAGGCUACGAUCGGUAGUUGGUCUGAGAGGAUGAUCAGCCACAAUGGGACUGAGACACGGCCCAUACUCCUACGGGAGGCAGCAGUGGGGAAUUUUACACAAUGGGGGAAACCCUGAUGUAGCGACACCGCGUGAACGAAGAAGCCUUUUGGGGUGUAAAGUUCUGUCGGCUGGAACGAAAAAAAUGACGGUACCAGCAAAGGAAGCAUCGGCUAACUACGUGCCAGCAGCCGCGGUAAGACGUAGGAUGCAAGCGUUGUCCGGAUUUAUUGGGCGUAAAGAGUUCGUAGGCGGUUAUUUAAGUCUGGUGUUAAAUACUGUGGCCCAACCACAGAACUGCAUUGGAUACUGGAUGACUUGAGUGCGGUAGAGGCGAGUGGAAUUCCCAGUGUAGCGGUGAAAUGCGUAGA
Molecule: ribosomal RNA, 676 nt
Filed under: uncultured bacterium
Lineage: Bacteria
Description: bacterial SSU rRNA
Rfam family: Bacterial small subunit ribosomal RNA
Source: RNAcentral